Ahaetulla prasina is the source of this 2391-nucleotide long non-coding RNA. RefSeq lists it as uncharacterized. The record is from RefSeq and is a predicted model, not a curated record. NCBI's taxonomy places the organism in Eukaryota, Metazoa, Chordata, Lepidosauria, Squamata, Colubridae. The transcript is spliced from 3 exons.
AAAGAAAGAAAGAAAAAGAAAGGAAGGAAGGAAGGAAGGAAGGAAGGAAAGAAGGAGAAGAAAGAAAAGGCCAUUCAAAAUUACAUCCAAUAUAAAAUCAACCAUGUAGUGCAGUAGCAGAUACUUUCUUCUUGUCCAGCAAAAAGCAUGUCUGGAACUACCAAAUGAAGAAUUCAGGAAAGCUUUGCAUUUAUGGAUCCAUUCUACAAUCUUUGGUCCACUGGGACUCAUCCUACAGACCUAGAAGAAACAAGUAUGACAGCUUUUCAUCAUGACCUUGUGUAACAUGCUGCAUUUUGUUCGGUAUACUAUUGUCAUGCAGAAUCUUCUUUCACUAAAGUUAUUGAUUUGAUUUGAUUCUCUCAAGACUGCUGCCAUUGCUGCAUCUGAUGCUCCCGGAUCCACAUUUCCUUGUAAUAUUUUUCUUAGUGGCAACUUGAACUGUAGCAUCAGCGACUGCUAUAAACCAGAAGUAAUUGGGAAUGGAAAUGCUCCUAGGAAGAUGUGAAUUUUUUUUUACUGACAAUUCCCAGAGUAAAUGUCUUCCAAACCAAUUGUUUUUAUUUCCAGGAAUUGUGGAUUAGUUUAAGAUUGUCUAGUGCAGUGUAAUAGCUUUUAGCCAUGAUACAUGUUUGCAUACCCUUGCUGUUCAUUAUGUGUCAUAGGCAUAAAAGGAAUAGAAGAAUACUUAAAGGAAGGUAGUAAGAUGCCACCAUUAUAGAGUAAAUAUAUGGAGUGUAAAUGUUUGAUAAUUUUAUGAAGAAUGCCCUUAAAUCACAAGUUUCUAUUAUAGAGAUGAAACUCCCCUGACAUAUGGCACUCUUUGAUACUAACGUGGCUGACUUCCAGCCCACUCUUUGAUGCAUUACUAACUGUUCCUUUUCUCUUCUCUCUCUAAAACCUUGUUGGCAGUGCUUAUCACACACAUGUGGACCUGAUUAUUUAAUUCCUCUAAUACAGUUUAUAGGCCUAAUUUAGAUGCUUACUAAUUGAAAAGCAUUUUCAUGUCCACAGAUAGUAACAUAUGCCAGGCUGGGCUUGCAGGUCUAUCCUCUUUACUUCCGUCUCACAUCUCUAUUCUUCCUAGCAUUCUGCUUGCACUCACAUGCAAUUUGUUUCAAACAGGUCUCCCCAUUGAACUGUUCGUACCUCUGACUCUGCUUAAAGAUUCUGUUUAAGAGAAAACAAGAGUAUAGGAAAGUAACAUGUAUCAAUUUCUAUAGUAUGUAUAAAAUUAUAUUUGUGUACUCUUUAUAAAACUAAUUUUGUUUCUACUACAACUACAGAUUUUUGAAAGAUGCAAUUGUUAGAAAAGAAUUUACAUCCUUUUAUAUUAUGAAUGAAUGAAUGAAGCAGUCACAUAUAGACAUUAUAUGAUUAUAUUAUGCUAGUGACUGUGACCAUUAUAUGAGUUUUGCGUCUGGCACUAAAAAUAUUAAAAACUGUCAGGUAGAUUCAUAGACAAUAAUAAUGAAGGAGAACUCAAGAAUGCAAUAUAUUAAGAAAUUGCUAUUUUUAAUAUUUUAAAAUGAUGAAUUAAAAAAAAAGAAAGCAAACAAUGUGAACUAAAUCAAUAGUCUUUCUGGUAUUGACACUAUGAAGUAAUAUACCAUUUAAAAGAACACACUAAACAAUCUGAAACAUUCCUGUGGGCUUUUAACAUGAGUUAGAGCCUGCUGGAAUCACAAUCUCAUUGGUUGCAUUUCAUACAGAGUGUUCUAAUUUUCACUAAGUCCUGAUCAAUUUGAAUUUAUAGCCACUUAAACAAAUAGAAAGCUAGAUUGUUUGCACGCAACCAAAUUGGUCUGAAUAUAUGACCAAGUUUGGGUGAAGAAACAAAUAUACUUUCAAAGAUAUGAAGCUCUGGAACACUCCUUACAGGUGAUACUUUUAGUGCUUUUCACCAAUCUAUUAAUAUACUACUAUAAAUGUUUUAAAAAAUAAGUUAGGAUUAUCUAUACCUAUAUCUACUGUACAUCUAUAGCUAUAUAACUGAAGAUAAGAUCUGAGACAUCAUCUACACUACAUGAAAUCAGAUAGUUGUUUUCUGCUCCUAAUACAGUAUGUUUGCUGACCUCUAAUGUAUGCUAAGUAUAGUCAAGGCUAUGGUUUUCCCAGCUGCAAUGUAUGGCUGUGAAAGUUGGACCAUAAGAAAGGCUGAGUGACAAAGAAUUGAGGUCUUUGAACUAUGGUGCUGGAGAAGACUCCUAUCAGUCCCUUGGACUGCAAGGCGAUCAAACCAGUCAGUCCUAGAGGAGAUCAACACUGAUUGCUCUUUAGAAGGCCAGGUCCUGAAGAUGAAAUUCAAAUACUUUGGCCAUCUAAUGAAAAGGAAGGACUCAUUAGAGAAGAGCCUAAUGCUGGGAACAAUUGAGGGCAAAAGAAGAAGGG